UGGCGCCCAAACGUGGGGCCUGGAAGAUUUUGGAGUAAGGAGUAGCCAUUGUUAGAUCGAACCUCUCAACAAAAAGGCUGUGCAGUCCCGGAGAAUUUAGAGAAUAAGGUCGCCAUGGAUCUGCCUGCCCCAAGGAACAAAGACCUGGGUGGUAAGAGGCUUCGAUACCAAGAGAGAGAAGAAAUUAGUGUAUAUGAUAGAUUUAUUGAGGAUCUCAAAGACUCAUUAAGGACAUGUAGAGUAAAGGUUAAAAAAAAAGAACUUAUAAAAUUUUUAAGUUUUUUAGAAGAUGUCUGCCCAU
This is a non-coding RNA of Sarcophilus harrisii (Tasmanian devil), 301 nucleotides long. The record is from Rfam. NCBI's taxonomy places the organism in Eukaryota, Metazoa, Chordata, Mammalia, Dasyuromorphia, Dasyuridae.